This 197-nucleotide unclassified non-coding RNA is filed under the name uncultured Trichocomaceae. RNAcentral's name for it is "sequence contains ITS1". The record is from RNAcentral. Lineage: Eukaryota; Fungi; Ascomycota; Eurotiomycetes; Eurotiales; Trichocomaceae.
CCGAGAUGAGGUGACCGGCGCCCGCGCGCGCCGGCCACGAACCUCACCAACCCGUGUCUACCGUACCUCGUUGCUUCGGCGGGCCCGCCGCUCCGUCGGCCGCCGGGGGACUCUAUGUCCCCGGGCCCGUGCCCGCCGAAGACCUCCUGAACACUGCCUGAAGGUUGCCGUCUGAGCCAGAAUGAUUAAAUCAAACA